CGAGAAGGCUCUUGGCGGUGGAUCACUCGGCUCGCGAGUCGAUGAAGGACGCAGCCAGCUGCG
This 63-nucleotide ribosomal RNA is filed under the name Ciona intestinalis (vase tunicate). RNAcentral describes it as "partial 5.8S ribosomal RNA". It matches the Rfam family "5.8S ribosomal RNA", at positions 1 to 57 of the family's 154-position model. From Rfam's summary of the family: 5.8S ribosomal RNA (5.8S rRNA) is a component of the large subunit of the eukaryotic ribosome. It is transcribed by RNA polymerase I as part of the 45S precursor that also contains 18S and 28S rRNA. The record is from RNAcentral. Lineage: Eukaryota; Metazoa; Chordata; Ascidiacea; Phlebobranchia; Cionidae.